UACAUGGCUCAGAACGAACGCUGGCCGGCAUGCCUAACACAGUGCAAGUCGAACGAAGGCUUCGGCCUUAGUGGCGCACGGGUGCGUAACGCGUGGGAACCUGCCCCUCGGUUCGGAAUAACAGUUAGAAAUGACUGCUAAUACCGGAUGAUGACUUCGGUCCAAAGAUUUAUCGCCGAGGGAUGGGCCCGCGUAGGAUUAGCUAGUUGGUGGGGUAAAGGCCUACCAAGGCGACGAUCCUUAGCUGGUCUGAGAGGAUGAUCAGCCACACUGGGACUGAGACACGGCCCAGACUCCUACGGGAGGCAGCAGUGGGGAAUAUUGGACAAUGGGCGAAAGCCUGAUCCAGCAAUGCCGCGUGAGUGAUGAAGGCCUUAGGGUUGUAAAGCUCUUUUACCAGGGAUGAUAAUGACAGUACCUGGAGAAUAAGCUCCGGCUAACUCCGUG
RNAcentral lists this ribosomal RNA (447 nucleotides) under uncultured bacterium. RNAcentral describes it as "bacterial SSU rRNA". It matches the Rfam family "Bacterial small subunit ribosomal RNA", at positions 16 to 507 of the family's 1533-position model. The record is from RNAcentral.